Marmota monax (woodchuck) is the source of this 510-nucleotide non-coding RNA. NCBI's taxonomy places the organism in Eukaryota, Metazoa, Chordata, Mammalia, Rodentia, Sciuridae. The record is from the annotation of a RefSeq genome assembly.
UCUAGUAGGGUCAACACCAGAGCAAUCAAUGUCAAGGAAGUGUCUCUUUGUAACAGAGUCUAUACUAUGUCUAAGCAGAGAAGAUCUUCCAGAGUCAAGCUCUCACCUCCUUUCUCUCUAGCCAUGCUCUUGGUGUCCAUUCUACUGCUUGGACUGCCCUUCACACUAAGAGGAAGCAGAGCCCAGUCUGUGACCCAGCCUGACCUCCAUGUCACUGUCACCGAAGGAGUCCGUCUGGAGCUGAGGUGCAACUAUUCCUAUGCUGCAACACCAUAUCUCUUCUGGUACGUCCAAUACCCAGACCAACACCUUGAGCAUCUCCUCACAUACUUGGCAAGAGACACCCUGGUUAAAGGCAUCAAAGGUUUUGAAGCUGAGUUUAAGGAGAGUGAAUCGUCUUUCAACCUGAGGAAGUCCUCAGCCCACUUGAGCGACUCAGCCAAGUACUUUUGUGCUCCAGUAGCACAGUGCCUAGGGCUACAGGGGGAGCUGAGCACAAACCUCCUCUGA